UUUCCGUAGGUGAACCUGCGGAAGGAUCAUUAGUGAACGCCCUCACGGGCUUAUAACUAUUCCAAACCUCUGUGAACCGUGCCCUUCGGGGUUAUUUUACAAACAUGGUGUAAUGAACGUCAUAUAUCAUAACAAAACAAUACUUUCAACAACGGAUCUCUUGGCUCUC
This 169-nucleotide unclassified non-coding RNA is filed under the name plant metagenome. RNAcentral describes it as "partial contains small subunit ribosomal RNA, internal transcribed spacer 1, and 5.8S ribosomal RNA". The record is from RNAcentral.